Long non-coding RNA from Suricata suricatta (meerkat), 1012 nucleotides. RefSeq lists it as uncharacterized. The record is from RefSeq and is a predicted model, not a curated record. The transcript is spliced from 4 exons. Lineage: Eukaryota; Metazoa; Chordata; Mammalia; Carnivora; Herpestidae.
GGUGUCCCCUUCCCACAGUGCACGUGUUUGAGUCCUGACCCCGCACCUCUGAGUGUGACUGUAUCUGGCGUGGGGUCUGUAAAGUGGGGAGGGAGGUAAACUGAGGUCAUUGAGGGUGAACCCCAAUCCAAUAUGAUCGGUGUCCUUAGAAGAAGAGGAGAUUGGGACACCGAGACACACAGGGGGAAGUCCGUGUGAAGACGGAGAGAAGAUGGCCAUCUGAGCACUGAGGAUGGAGGCCUCCCAACACGCUACUCUUGGACUUACAUCCUUCAGAUUCGUGUGCCCAAGACGUCAGUUCUUAGCCAUCCACCCCGACCAUCGGCUCCCACAGGCCACCUGCUUUCUGUCUGUGCAGCUCCCUUGGCCUCUUCUCGACCAACAUCAAGGCUCGGGGAUCCUCCCGCUGCUCUCAUGCCUGCUGGGAACCAAGGCACUCUGGAAAGCAUCCUUUCCAUCUGCGCCUGGGCUUCGUGAACCUCACUUUGGAGCCUUGUUGCCUUCCCCACAGGAGGACAGGAGAGCACUUCCGGGGGAAUCCUCCAUAUUCUCUGUUUGCCAGAAGAUGCAGAAGAUCCGAUGACUCCAUGGACCUGAAGGGGUGCUGAGAGCCAAGAUCAAAAGGACUAGGACCCUGGAUGACUUGCCAACAUUCUGUAACUGUGACAUGAACAAGAAAGAAACUCUACUGUGUUAAGCUACUGAGAUUUUAGGCUUUAUCUGGAGUGCCUAAGCAGCUACCCAGUUCCUUUUCCUGGUCUCCUUGUGUCUUCUAUGCUGAUGGGAACCCUUGGGCUUGCUGUCUUCUUGCUGUCACCCUACUGGAACAUGGCGCUGCUCCUGCUGUCCUGGCCAGUUCUGGGCACAUCUUUUGUUUCAUGCAUCAGGUUCUGGCAACAGCUCUGUCCUCUUUCUGGGAAUGAAGUCACCUUACUCAGUGCCUGGUUUGGGAUUGGGUUCAACUACCUUAAACAAUAGCUUGGGUUCAUGCCUCACACUGCACACCAAUAUA